GGCCGCACAGCCUUCGUAGUGACCUGCGGAGGAUCAUUA
RNAcentral lists this ribosomal RNA (39 nucleotides) under Cortinarius aurantiobasis. Its description in RNAcentral is "partial 18S ribosomal RNA". The record is from RNAcentral. Lineage: Eukaryota; Fungi; Basidiomycota; Agaricomycetes; Agaricales; Cortinariaceae.